Molecule: long non-coding RNA, 6860 nt
Filed under: Homo sapiens (human)
Lineage: Eukaryota; Metazoa; Chordata; Mammalia; Primates; Hominidae
Description: non-protein coding lnc-SNRPN-8:99
Source: RNAcentral
CAGGAGAUGAUAGUUCCAAGAAGGAACAUUUUAUCGUCUUUGUUUUUAAUCUCAAGAAUGGUACCUACCAUCAGUGAAUGACCUGUUGCAGUGCUUUCAUUGAAGUGUUCUUCGUUCCCUCAGCAAUAUGAUUGUGAUGACUGAAAAAGGGAAACUGUGCCACUAUUUGUACCAUCAUUUUCACCAAAAUCUAAAAAUGCUUUUUAUGACGUAUGGAGACAUUCUUCAUGUUUGUUUCAGUGGACACUCCUUGCAGAUGUAAAAAACUGAGAAAACUCACUUUUGGAAAGUGACCUAAAGAGUGUCAUUGAAGUGAAUUUUAAGUAGGCACGAUGAUUGUUUUCAUGGUUGCUGUUGGAUCAUAUCUCAGGAGCUGGAAUGACAGACAUUAUUGAACAAAGAAAUCAGGAUAGUGGAACUUAAAGGGCUUCAUCUCAGUGCUUUCAUAAGUAUGAAGUGCAUAUAUUUAUAAUUUUCACUAAUCACAGGAAUAUUCCCUCUGUAUACUUGCAUUUUUUUCUAUCAAUUGACGCUUACAAUUAUUUUUGCAAGUUGGAAAAAAAUGCAGUAUUAAUUUCAUUUGCAACAAAUUUAAUAGAUUAAUUAGGAGAGAAUAGAUAUCUUUAAAAUUGAGUCUUCUGUCCAACUGCAAGUUAUAGCUGAGGUGGUACCAGUUUAAGAAGUGAGAACUUCUUCACUGACUGAAAUUUGCAUAUCAAUCCAAAUCAUUGUGCUUAUUUACUAUUUUUGUAGACGUCAUUCUUCAAAAGUGCUGCAUCUUCAAUAGUCAAGGAGGACAAAGACAUCUUUCCUGCAGGUGGUGACCAUGUGGAUAAUAGGAUCAUAGACAAAUGGUGGUUCCAUCUACAGCAUCACCGAAAUGCUGUUGUUACUGCUUCUUUCUGGGAUCUUCUUGCAUCUUUGCUUCUAAAGGGGCACACCUUUUAUAGAAGUACGUCCAGGAAUAGAAGUGACCUGCUUUUUCGCAAGUAAUUGCCUGGAAUGUUUUUAUGUACUUCUCUGCACUCUCAAUACAUUUCAUGCUUCCCUCUAUUUUUGUAUAUUAACUCAUUGUAUUUCUUAAAUUUAUAUUUUACUUUAUGAAUGGAAGUGAGAUUUGUGUAUGGUAAAUAUAAUUAAUUCAACCCCAUGGAUACGUUAGUCACUGUCCAGAUGAUGGCAAGUCUUUCUCAGAAGCAGAGGGCCUUGGUGUGCCAGUGAUUUUUUUUCCCCAUGUGUAAGAUACUUUUUUUCCUCAUUUGAAUCAGGAGCCCACAGUUUUUAGACAAGUCCCAAAUGAAAUCUUAAGCAUUUGUGUUAUCUGGACUAGACCUUCUGUAGUAUCCUUUUUGUUAGACCUAGUAUAUCUCAUUGCAGAUCAGGAUCUGAGAUUGACUAUAGUUCACCUCUUUCCAAGUACACAAACUUGGAUGACAUGACAACUGAGUGUGUAAGGGAGAGCGAGACCCUUGCACUGCCAUUUGAGCCCUUGUGAUCUCAUCUUGUAGAACAUGUUGUACAAUCAUUUUAUUGGUAUCAUUAGUGUUAUUUGGGGCUGGAAUAAAAAUCUCAGUGCACCAAAGAGAUUUCCCCUUUAUCCACGUUACCCUGGUUUUCCUUUGUUUUCUGUUUAACCUAAACGGGCUUAAUAUAAAAUAGUGCUUAUUUGGUGUUUUAAUUGUCUGCUUCUAUAACAUAAGCUGCACUGUCCAUUGGGGAACUGCUCACCAUAUUGCCCAACCUGUCUUGAUAGGUUUAUACAUGGGAGGCAUUCAGUAAUAUUAAUUACCUCUCUAGACCAGUGUUAGCAAUAACAAACACUUGCUAGAAUUUUAAGACUAUAUAAUCAAUCACUUUGAUGUCAGUUAAUCCUACCAACACAAGAUUAAAGGUUUAAAAAUCUCAUACGUGUACAGCCAUUAGUGUCUCCUUUCAUACUAUAUUAUUUUGUUCAUUGGCAGCUAGAUUUUUAGGUAGAACUUGUGUUCCUUUUUGCAAUGCUCAUUUAUUUUACCUGGACAGAAGGUGCUCUUCUGUCUCUUCUCCAAAGUUAAUUUAUCUCAUACUAUUUCUUGUGUUAAUAUUUUCCAAGUUCAGUAUGCUGUUCUGGUUAUAAGAAGAUCAGUGUCCUAAUCACACACUUUUACAUUAUAUGAAACAUCAUACAGAGUUUUGUAGUCUGUAUAACAAUACACAGAGGUAGCAAAAUUUGUAAAAGAGCAGACUAUAUAGUCCAUACUGUAGUAACUACUCAACAUUGCCAUUAUACGUGAAAUCGGCUAUAACCAAUUCAUAAACAAAUGAAUUUGGCCGUGUUCUAGUAAAACUUAUUUACAAAAACAUGUGUUAGGCCAGAUUUGGACCACAGGCUGUAGAUUUCUGACCUCUGGCUUACAGCAGAAGUUUAUUAUGAUCCUGGGGAAGGUGGAUAUACAUGGAAGGCAGAAGCGAGAAGAUGUAUUCCAUCCCAUGUCAUUUUUCUGAACCCUCAACGUAGGAAGUUAAACUAAAACAUGGGGCAGAAUCUGCUUUAAGCCUUUGAAUUCUUGGCUCUUAAAGCCAGGUUGAGGGUUAUGUGUUUUUAUUCUUUUAUAUCUCCUUUUCACUUAGGCUUGGCAACUAGUUCAUUGAAACAGAGCCAACAAGAAUGAGUGAGUCACUCAGUGAUAUGAAGCAAGCUGUGGUCAUUUAUCUACUACCUUCCAUACCUACUUCCUAGGUUUGAUAAGUAGUGUUUGUAGUGUAGUUGUCAGUAACUUUUCUCAGCUUACAUAAGUUUAUGUGGAAUUCAUUUACAAAUGUGUGAUUAUUACGAUAGAUGUUAUUUUAUAAAUUUCAAGGUUCUUUAAUACAGCAUGGACAUGUUUCUAAAUCAAUAAAUAUAGCUUACCCACAGACUUUUUAUGGGAUGUAAAGUAUGUAUUACAACAGGUAAAUCCAUUUCUCUGUUUUGGGAAAGCAGGUUAAUGUUUUGUUUGUUUUGUUGCUGCAUAUAAUGUUGCACUAUAUAUAUAUUCUAAUGCAGUUGGUCUCCUAAUUCUACAGGAUAAAUGUCUAGCUGUGGCAUUGUUGGAUCAUCAGUUUCGUUUCAGUUAGAUGCUGUGAAAUUGCUCUUGAAAAUGGUGUCCUCUGCCACCACAGAACGGUGUUGUAAUGGAAGUGCCAAUUUUCAUAAAAACUUGUGUGCAACAGGUAUUAAGAAUUUUUGAGGUCGGGCGCAGUAGCUCACGCCUGUAAUCCCAGCACUUUGGGAGGCCUAGGCAGGUGGAUCACCUGAGGUCAGGAGUUCCAGACCAGCCUGACCAACAUGGUGAAAUCCCAUCUCCACUAAAUACAAAAAAUUAGCUGGGCGUGGUGGCAUAUACCUGUAAUCCCAGCUACUUGGGAGGCUAAGACAGGAGAAUUGCUUGAACCCAGGAGGCGGAGGUUGCAGUGAGCCGAGAUUGCACCACUACACUCCAGCCUGGGUGAUGAGCGAAACUCCAUCUCAAAAAAAAAAAAAAGCUUUAAAUUUUUAGCCAAUCUAAUAGGUGAAAAUGGCAUUUUUAACAUAAGUCUGACUUAAACAAUUAAUGGCCGUGGCUAAAAGAAGAAUCAAAUAAUGAUGUGUGAUUUAUAAGAUAAGGAGGCAGUACCCCAUUUUUCCUCACUCUACCCAAAAAUCCUGUUUAUCUGAGCAAGAAAUCAUUAAUAUUUUCUAAAUCCGCUUGGAAGUUCAUAAACGCCCUAAGUAUACCUUAUACCAGCGUUUUUAUGACUUUGUAUUUUUGAAAUAAUUUUAGAUUCAGAAUCGCAAGAAUCAUGCAGAGCGACCUGAUUUACGCUUCACCUAGAUUGACUUUUUAUUCUGCAUCGUUGUGUUCUUCCCCCACUUCCUCUUCUUGCUCUCGCCUCCCUUUAUAUGUUUAUACAUAGCAUUAUCAUUUUAUGUACUAUUUGAAUGAUUUGCCGACAUUAUCUUCCUGUAACCCAAAACACUUCAACAUCUACUUUCUAAGAGCCUGAGCAUCUUAUAUUGACUUCGGUAAAAAUUUCAAAAUAAUGAAAUGUGUCAAUAGUAUAAAAGUAUAACAGUAUGCAGUCCAUAUUCACAUUUUACCCAUUUUUCCAGAGGUGUUCUUUAUAGCAGUUUCUUCCCUUCUACAACAUCCAGAAAAGGAUCUUCUAUUGCAUUCAAUUAUCAUGUCUCUUUAGUUUUGUUUAAUCUGAAACAGUUUCCUGGACUUUGAUCACAUCAGUGUUCUUAAAAAGUAAUAGCUAACAGAUUUAAGGAGAUACCUCAGAUUUUGAAUUUUGUGUUUCCUCAUGAAAAGGUUUAAGAUACUCAUUUUGAGCAGAAAUAAUUCAGUAUUCUCAGUCUUCCUUAGUGAAUCAUCUCAGGUGACAAAUAAUGUCACUUUGUCUCACUUUGAAUUACUUUGAUCUCUUGGUUCGAUUGGUGUCCACUGGACUUUUCCACUAUAGUUAACAUUCCUUCAUAAUUAAUUUGGAACUAUACAGGUAUUCUAUUUUUCAUCAAACUUCCACAUAGUAGGUUUAAUAUGCACAGGUGACUUUUACCUGAAUCAGUGUUGAUUAGAAAAAAAUCUGUUAUUGCUUAGAUGCAUUAUUUAGUAUCUUGUACUGUAAGGAAGAGUUUGUAUAUCAUGGCCUGUCAGAACAGUCCCGCAAUGUGUUUUAUGAACUGAAAAUUCUGAAAGAAUAAGGUAGUGAUUUAUAUGAGAAUACAGGGAAAGGGUUACCCAAAGAGUCUAAUGAAUUUAUGUCUAAACCAUAGAGUGGAAUGUGAGAGACACACAGAACUCCAGAGUUGUGAUGCAAAUACACUGCACAGUGGAAGGAGAAGAGGAAGUUUUUGGUAAUAGUGUUUCAUCUAAUGUAGCUCUGUAAUGUAUGUGUGCCUUCAUUAUUGGAAGAGUGUUCAACAGUUCACAGUUGAAUAGACUGAAGCAUGAUGCUGGAAUCUGGGUUCAGAUUCUAGAUCCGUAUCCUACAUAUCACCAAUGCUUGUUUCUCAAUUUUUGUUUGUCAUUACUUUAAGUCUCUUUAAUGCAUUAGAGUAUCCAAGGUUGACAGUGAAGGGACUGCAUUUGGGAGCUAUCUGAAGACAAAAACAGCUUUUUGAAGUUUCUUUCAUACGUCACCUUACAUGGCCUCUCGCAUUCUCUGUGGAGAAGUUUGUGUAGAUUAUUCAGACUACCGUGCAGUGACUGUGUUGUUUAAAACCUAUACAUAUCCAAACUCUGUUUUGUGUUCUCUAUAACUAGGGCAUUAGUCUCCCAAUAGUAAUCCUGCAUCUUAUGCUAUUUAAAGAAGGUUCCCAGAAUACAGACAUUCUUACUUUUGAACAAUGACUUGGGUAGAUUGAGGAAGUGGUUUUAAUAAUCACUUUGAUAUAUUUCAAAAUCUGGUUCAUUAUUGGUGAGGUGCAGGCCACCUGGUAUUAAUGAAAAUGUGUAAUUAGGAACCAGUGCAGUGGAAUCAGAGGCUUGAACAUGACCUAAGGCUUGGUCAAAAGUGGUGAUCUGAAUGUUCCCUGCUCUCUGUAUGUAACUUUGUACUUAGUCUUCAGUGGCAGGGUUGCAGCAGAGGCCCAGUAAAUAUUGUUCAUUCAACGUAUGAAGGAGAAAAUGGAAGUAAGGCCAAAAAUUACUGAUUGUAAACAAAUGAAGCACCAAGUGAAUAAAUGUACAAAUAGACAAGUAGCCAGUAGGAAAAAAAACAAUAAUUGUUACCUAAAGAAUGAAAACCAAGUGGAAAAGGCCGCCAGGGACAUUUUAAUAUGCAUAUUGUUGCUUUCACAUAUAAUACAGUAAGGGAGUAUCAGAAAACCUGAAUCUGCCUGACUAAAACAUACCCUGUUCCACAAAGCUAUAUAUAUGAGAGUAUUGAAGGUGGUUUAAUACCAAAUUCAAAAAUUCAGCCUCAGUGUAGCAAACUUUUAAAUUUUCCAUGAUAUAAAGUAAGUUUUAACCAACAAUGGAAGUCACAGCACUAAAGUACAUUACUAUUAUAUGAUUCUCUGAUGGUAAUAGAAACUGUGCUGCAGGACACGUUUUGAUUCAGGAAGAAAUGUGGAGUAACUCCACAGAGGAAUUCAUCCUUUCUAAGUUUAAAUCUGAACGGAACCCAUAUGCCCAUACCCUGAAGAUGCAUGUAAGGGAACAACAUGGCUUGGUCUGUUGAAAAAAGAAAAGAACCUUCAAUUAAGCAUUCUGUGAACUUGAUAAGAGGAUGCAGAGGAACGUAAAUGCACUCUGCAUAUCUGUGAUUGACCUUGGAACACAGUGAUUGCCCUCUAAAGAAUAGCCGAGUAAGUACUGUUAUCAUUCCACCGAUCAAAUUAGAGCCUCUUCCUUCCAGUGGGAGCAGAGUGACAUAGACCAAGGAAAGCCGAGGAGAAGAUUGUAGCCUUUUAUUUCUCCUUAUAUUUGUUGAGGUUCACUGCUGACUGAUAAACGAUUUGCACAAAAAAAUUCAGGCCUCUGACUCUUCUGGUAUUUGAUUUAUCUAGUAAAGUUAAUUCCAAGACAAAAGUACAGUUGGUUAAAAAUACCAGUCUCAUGUUUAUUUGAUGGUUUGAAAUAUUCUGUUACAUUGUUGUAUCUCGUUUGUCACCUUGGAAUAUAUGACAAUCAUGUUAUCUUGAUUUUUUCCACAAGAUAAUUUGAUUCUAAAAUCGAUUCAUUGUUUAUCUUCAGGAAUUAGAGAUUUUAAAAAUGUCAUCUCAUGUCUCAUUCAGUCAUUUCCAAGAUUUAGCGAGUGUUCUCCCUAAUGCCUUGGAUAAGAAUGCCUUGUUCAAUGGCUGUAUUUUACUCAUAAUUAGCAUUCCAACUGCUUUGGGUUUUUUUAGAUUUACA